This 197-nucleotide ribosomal RNA is filed under the name uncultured bacterium. RNAcentral's name for it is "partial 16S ribosomal RNA". It matches the Rfam family "Bacterial small subunit ribosomal RNA", at positions 326 to 545 of the family's 1533-position model. The record is from RNAcentral.
ACGCUCGACACCUACGAGGCAGCAGUGGGGAAUAUUGCACAAUGGGGGGAAACCCUGAUGCAGCGACGCCGCGUGAGCGAAGAAGUAUUUCGGUAUGUAAAGCUCUAUCAGCAGGGAANAAACUGACGGUACCUGACUAAGAGCACCGGCUAAAUACGUGCCAGCAGCCGNGUAUCUGAGCGGGCGUGGACGAAGGC